UGUCCAUUAGUGCAGAUCAACCUGUUUUUAAAAUGUGUAUUUUGUUGACCUUUUCACAGUCUCUGAAAUGACAGGUUUUGCCUCAAAAAAAUCAAACACCAUGACAAUCCACUACAGCACUAAAUGUUAUAUUAGCUGUUUCUAGUGCCUAGGCAAUGUACAAAUAGGAAGAUAGUAAGACAAGGCCUUUGGGUCAAUCUAUCAAAAAGAUUUAAAGCAUAGUCUAGACUCCAUUGAUGUCAAUGGGAGUUUUCCAACCUGACUUCAACAGAGUUAGUAUUAUAGCCAAUGCAAUACACCGAAAUUCGAUCAUGAAAGGAACUAAACUGAUUUUCUGCAAGAGAAAAGUAGUUUCUUUCUUUAUCAAAUAUAAAUUGAGGUGGACAGUCCAGGUGCAAAUGUGAUGCUUGUCUUCUUGGCCAGCCUAGGGGAUACUAAAGAGGGAUCGCGUUGGGAGGGAAUCCUGAACAAGCUAUGCUGGGCUAAGCAGAACUGUCUGGCACAGACUUGUACGCUUACCAAAGAAUUCUCAUGUGGAUUCUAUCUAUUCAGGCCAUCAUACCACAGUGUGCUCAUGAACAGUUGCAAAGUGGUUAGAGGUUACCAUCAUCCACAUGUAUGUGGGCACGCACACAAACUCACACUGCUCUACACACAGUGAAAUAAGAAUCUUGUACCUUCCCUCCUCUUAAAUGCUGUUAUCACUGAAUGUUGAAGGCUAUUUGAAUAUGCCGUUUCCCCUGCUCCUGUACAUUGAGACUCCUUUCUGUAGCCUUCUCUCCUGUCUAUAACUCCAUUGUCACCUACCUCAAUUGCAUUUCCAUUUGACAUGACAAUUACAAUUUUACACUCUGCCCUUGGACAUUGCCUGAGAAAAGCAAAGUUAAAUCCAAAUAUGUUCUUCCACUUGCACAAGUUUUUAUAUGUGGUUUAGCAAGUGGUGUUCAAUUCCCCUGCCCCCUACAGAUAAGCCUCCGAGGAAGGCUCCCUCGAGCAGAAAGAUGUUGGGCUAGCAUAGUAAUAAAUAUAUUAACGUAUAAUAAUAAGCAUCCAGCAUCCCUCAUUUUGUUUACAUCACUGGAUACUUCCCAUUUCAGCCUCUUGUGCAAGUACAAGAACCACUGUUGAACUGAUGAUAGUAUCAUACAGGCCAUUGUGCAAGUGUUUGUCGAACCACGCUAGCAGUGUUUUUUCUUCUACUCUCUGUUCUUUGGAUCCAACCCAGGAGUUUUUCAGUGAGGGAUGAUCUGGGUUCCAUUCCAAGCACACUGAAGUCGGAGCUCUGAACUAAACAAGCAUGUAGUAAUAAUAAUAACAACAGCAAUUUAUUAUUUAUACCCCACCCAUCUGGCUGGGUUUCCCCAGCCACUCUGGAUGGCUCCCAACAGAUUAAAAAUACAAUAAAACAUCAAACAUUAAAAACUUCCCUAAAUAGGGCUGCCUUCAGAUGUCUUCUAAACAUCAGAUAGUUGUUUAUUUCUUUGACAUCUGGUGGGAGGGCGUUCCACAGAGUGGGCACCACUACCGAGAAGACCCUCUGCGUGGUUCCGUGUAACCUCACUUCUCGCAGUGAGGGAACCACCAGAAGGCCCUCAGAGCUGGACCUCAGUGUCUGGGCUGAACAAUGGCUGUGGAGACGCUCCUUCAAGUACCAACACUUUGAAUUGUGGUUGUCAGUUGGGUCCUGGGAUCAGAAGCAGAUAAUUUCUGAAUUUUUAAAAACAUAAAUAGUAGCUACCAGAAUCUGCAGUUUCUUCUUCUUGAUGUGUGCUGCUUUUAACAUACAGUGGUACCUCUGGUUACAGACGCUUCAGGUUACAGACGCUUCAGGUUACAGACUCCGCUAACUCAGAAAUAGUACCUCAGGUUAAGAACUUUGAUUCAGGAUGAGAACAGAAAUCGUGCAGCGGCAGCAGCGGGAGGCCCCAUUAGCUAAAGUGGUACCUCAGGUUAAGAACAGUUUCAGGUUAAGAACGGACCUCCAGAACGAAUUAAGUUCUUAACCCGAGGUACCACUGUAUUAUUCUCAUUUCUUUGCAUUCUCUCAUUCAAAAGUGCUUUUUUUUCUCGCUGCUUUUACAUUGCUAGCAUUUAAAAAAUUUUCUCGUAGUUUAAUUUUUUUCACUUUUUCAAUUUUUUUCAUAUCUUAAUGGAUUCAUACACCUUGAUACUUUCUCCAUAUACAAUUAUUAGCACUUCAUCUGUUAGCAGCCCCAAUCUAUAUGCCCUCCCACCUCCAUACAGAUGGUCCCAGCUUCAAUCCCUGGCAUAUUUAAUUAAAAGUAGCAGGCAGCAGGUGAUGAAAAAGAUGUCUGCCUAAAACUACUGCUAGUCAGAAUAGAUAAUACUGGACUAGAUGGACAAAUACUCUGACCCGGCAUAUGACAGCUUCAGAUGUUCCUGCUUCCCUUGAAAUUUAUACACAUUUUUGCAGAGCUGAAACCAAAGCUUUCACUUUGUUGGCUCAGAAUAUGAACAUCAAAAACUUGUAGUUUCUUCCACCCACCCACAAUUCCUUCCUUCCGUUCCUUGUUCGAUCAAAACCAGAUGGGCCAGUGGGGAGAGAUAAUUUGGAGACUGACAGAUCAGUAGCCAGAAAGGAAGAGGUUUGGAGUUUCACUCAUGGCAGGGAGAAAGGAGGAAGCCAUCUUGCACCCCAAGUGAUGUCAAGGAGGAGGCAAAAUAGGAUCCAAUUUGUCUCAUGUUUGGCCUUUGCGAGUACAAAACUAUUUCCCUAAUCUAGGGAGGUGUCUAUAGGGAGGUGUCUAAAACUUCUUCAUGGUAGAGCAUAAGACUCUUCAUCUCAGGGUUGUGGGUUCAAGCCCCAUGUUAGGCAAAAGAUUCCUGCA
Podarcis lilfordi (Lilford's wall lizard) is the source of this 2849-nucleotide non-coding RNA. The record is from the annotation of a GenBank genome assembly. NCBI's taxonomy places the organism in Eukaryota, Metazoa, Chordata, Lepidosauria, Squamata, Lacertidae.